Molecule: ribosomal RNA, 1461 nt
Filed under: uncultured Bordetella sp.
Lineage: Bacteria; Pseudomonadati; Pseudomonadota; Betaproteobacteria; Burkholderiales; Alcaligenaceae
Description: partial 16S-23S ribosomal RNA intergenic spacer
Rfam family: Bacterial small subunit ribosomal RNA
Source: RNAcentral
AGAGUUUACUAUGCUCAGAUUGAACGCUGGCGGAUGCUUGGCUUACGCAAGUCGAACGGCAGCACGGACUUCGGUCUGGUGGCGAGUGGCGAACGGGUGAGUACGUAUCGGGACGCCUAGUAGCGGGGGAUAACUACGCGAAAGCGCAGCUAAUACCGCAUACGCCCUUCGUGGUGCGGUGGAUCUCUGGGCCUCGCACUAUUAGAGCGGCUGAUAUCGGAUUAGCUACACGUGGGUAACGGCUCACCAAGGGGCGACGAUCCGUAGCUGGUUUGAGAGGAUGACCAGCCACACUGGGACUGAGACACGGCCCAGACUCCUACGGAGGCAGCAGUGGGGAAUUUUGGACAGUCGGGGAAACCCCAAUCCAGCCAUCCCGCGUGUGCGAUGAAGGCCUUCGGGUUGUAAAGCACUUUUGGCAGGAAAAGAAACGGUACGGAUAAUACCUUCGUGCAACUGACGGUACCUGCAGAAUAAGCACCGCCAACUACGUGCCAGCAGCCGCGGUACACGUAGGGUGCAAGCGUUAAUCGGAAUUACUGGGCGUAAGCGUGCGCAGGCGGUUCGGAAAGAAGAAAGAUGUGAAAUCCCAGAGCUUAACUUUGGAACUGCAUUUUUAACUACUGAGCGAGUGUGUCAGAGGGAGGUGGAAUUCCGCGUGCAGUGAAAUGCGUGGAUAUGCGGAGGAACACCGAUGGCGAAGGCAGCCUCCUGGGAUAACACUGACGCUCAUGCACGAAAGCGUGGAGCAAACAGGACGACACUGUAGUCCACGCCCUAAACGAUGUCAACUAGCUGUUGGGGCCUUCGGGCUCGGUAGCGCAGCUAACGCGGUGAAGUUGACCGCCUGGGAGCAUGGUCUAUUUAAAACUCAAAGAAUUGAUUUGGGACCCGCACAAGCGGUGGAUGAUGUGGAUUAAUUCGAUGUAACGUGCGAAAACCUUACCUACCCUUGACAUGUUCGGGAAUCCCGAAGAGAUUUGGGAGUGCUCGCAAGAGAACUGUUACAGGUGCUGCAUGGUUGUCGUCAGCUCGUGGUCGCAGAGAUGUUAAGUCCCGCAACGAGCGCAACCUUGUCAUUAGUUGCUACGAAAGGGCACUCUAUCGAGACUUGCCGGUGACAAACCGGAGGAAGGUGGGGAUGACGUCAAGUCCUCAUGGCCCUUAUGGGUAGGGCUUCACACGUCAUACAAUGGUCGGGACAGAGGUCGCCAACCCGCGAGGGGGAGCCAAUCCUAGAAACCCGAUCGUAGUCCGGAUCGGCCUGCAACUCGACGGCGCGGAAGUCGGAACUGCUAGUAAUCGCGGAUCAGCAUGUCGCGGUGAAUACGUUCCCGGGUCUUGUACACACCGCCUGUCACACCAUGGGAGUGGGUUUUACCAGAAGUAGUUAGGCUUAACCGUAAGGAGGGCGAUUACCACGGUAGGAUUCGGCGACUGGGGUGAAGUCGUAACAGCGUG